GUAAAUAAAUUAAAGUACCUUUGAGAAAAACUAAAUUAAUGUGUUAUUCUGAAGAACGUAACAGUUUACUGAUGUACCUACCUAACAAUUUUGAUCAGCAUUACAGAUGUUUAUCUAUUUUAAUUUAUAAUAUUACUAUUCCAUAAUAGGCAAUAGAUAAGUAAAUUACUCAAAUUAGACUUAUAAAAUGGGGAUUAUACAUUCUACAAUGUGUGCUUUUUCGUUCGUCAUAGAAAGGAUCCUGAGUUGGCUCCUGUGCGCGUGCCUGUCGGCCUGUCUGCUGGUGGCCAUGGUGACCAUGUGCAUGUACGGCGUGUCGGCGGGGUACCACUACGCGCAGCGCGAGAUAGCGCAGUGGCAGGCGACAUUCAAAUACUACCACAAGCAAGAGUACAAAAACUUUGAACCUGAGUUUACGAGAAGAAAAGCCGUACCUCUCAACGACUCCUCAACUAUGAACUCGACCCUACUGAAGUAUAACAACAUCUCCAGAAAGAAUGAAAUCUUGGAUACUUUAAAUCUAAAUGCAUCAGUAGCUCAUGAUCUACAUAAGGAAGGAAUUUCAAAUGUAAACGCUGAAAAUCAAACAGGUUCUGAAUUUUUGACCAGGGAAAAAGAAACGACUGCACUUGCAGUUAGUGAUGAUAAGGAAAAUGCGGUGAAAGGAGACGAGGCGCGGACACAACUAAAGCAAUAUAAAGAAAAGUGGAAUAUUUUUAAUCCUAAUGAAAUGUUCUUAUACAAUACUUCAGAAACUGGUUUAAACAAAAUGGUUAAUUACUUCACCGCAUUUCUUCCAUUCUGAUGAACAUGAGUAAAAUCGACAGCUACAUAGAUUAUCGGUCUGUGCUACACGAUCUGAUAGGAAAUCAUUAUUAACGAUCAAAUUGAUCACUCUACAAAUUCAAUAAUGAUUUGGAAUAUUUUUAAAAUGGCAAAAUGGGUUGGAGAAAUCCUGAAGACUGCUACAUCAAGCCAUUCUCGCCUGAAAGGCCUCUCGAACAUUUUCAAUUUGCAUUUUUUAAAUUCUUGUUCUGAGUAAUGAAACAGUUCAUAGACGAAGACGAAAAUGGUUACUAUUAUUUGGUAUAUCGUAGUUUAUUUUCUCUAUGUUAUUUGUCAUUUUACUUGCUUUUAUGUUGAAAGUUAUAAACUUGUAAUAAAAUCGUAUUUUUAGAGAUAUUUAUUUAUACACAGUGAGUCGUCAUGGGUGUGAUACAUUCCCUCAUAUGUUCUCUGACGUUCUGUGCUGAAAGAGUGCUAACGUGGGCGGUGUGUGCCUGUGUGCUGCUGGUGCUGAUGCUCACGAUGGUGAUCCUGCUGGUGUACGGCAUCUCCGUGGGGUACCACUACGCGCAGAAGGAAAUCAAUCUCUGGUCAUACACGGCGUAUAAGAGAAAAUGGAUGCCGUACAGCCGCCGCAGUGGUCUUCGGAGUAAUGGUGAUGAGGGUGAGCCGGCGUUCAGCCCGGGUCUGGAUGGCCAGCUGCCGGGGACUGACGGCGACCUGGAGGCGCCACUGGGCUACCUGACCAACUUGACUAACACCUCGCCUGGCUCUGGCUCUACAGACGAAUUCAAAGUGAAAACAGCAGUAACACCGACACAAGACUUUACUUUGAGAUCAACAAAAAAUAAACCACUGUGGCAUAAGUACAUGGAGACCAAACCACCACGAACCACCACCACCGUCUCACCACCAUCCACAGAAAGGCCACCUUUUAAUCUCUAUAAAUUAAUGAAUCGUUUCAAACGCACUGAAGAAGAAGAACUAACUUCAACUAAGCCAUCCUGAUUGAAGAAUGUGUACCUGUGACGUUAUAGUAACCGAAUACUUUUAGAUGUUUAUGUACUUUUUGUUAAGAAUAUUUUAUUAAACAUAAAAUAAACAUAAUUAUGUAAUUAA
Molecule: non-coding RNA, 1905 nt
Organism: Plutella xylostella (diamondback moth)
Lineage: Eukaryota; Metazoa; Arthropoda; Insecta; Lepidoptera; Plutellidae
Source: RefSeq, a predicted model, not a curated record